Molecule: long non-coding RNA, 1868 nt
Filed under: Daucus carota (carrot)
Lineage: Eukaryota; Viridiplantae; Streptophyta; Magnoliopsida; Apiales; Apiaceae
Description: long non-coding RNA (DCAR_LNC006687)
Source: RNAcentral
UAGAGUAGUACUCUACUAGAAACCAAAUUAAAAUAGAAACUAGAAACCACAGGCCCAGCCCACUUUUUAAGACACCCAGUCCAGUAGCAUUGGACCCAGCCCAUCAUUACACAAAACUGCGACAGUUAAAAAUUAAAACUCACCCGAUACAAACGACUCACCGAUACACACGAUACACACGAUUCGCGCACAACGGUCCAUCACCUCCACUACUCCACUGUUCAUCUCGCGCUGCUCCACCGAGCUUAGGUACGUCUCCAAUGGCAGUUUCUUCAACUUUUCCCCUCUGUUUUCGUUCUAAUUAGGUAUAUUACAGCUUCUACGAAGAAAUUCAAGGCGAUUUUUGGAUCUCGCAACCGCAGCUGAAGCACCGAGCAAAAUAACUUGAACAUUUGUUGAAUAGGUACUUUUCUGUAGUUUAGUAGUAUUUAUAGUUAGUUAAUCAUCUUAAUCAUCUCGUAUUUUUAGUGUAUGUCGGUUUUUUUGAAUUUUAAGGGUUUUGUUGUAUAUUAUUGUGAAAACUGACUUCAAUCUACUAAUGUUCUUUCAUAACAGCUGUUAAUUAGCUUAUUUCACUCUGAAAGCUACUAAAAUAUGGCUAGAACUAGAGGAGGUAUGUUAAAUUAGGGUUUUAUCACUGUUUUUUUAAAUUAUUUGUGAUUUCAAGCAUUUACUUGUCUGAAUAUGUUGAUUUAUUGAAUAAUAUGUUGAUGAAUAUGUUGCUGAUUUGUUUAAUUAAUGAAUAUGAAUAUGUUGUUGAUGAAUAAGAUGUUGAUUUAGUGCAUAUUACUCAUCUUAAUGCAUAUUACUAAUCUCAGUUUGUAGAGUACGUAGAGUACUGAUCUUAGUGUGUAGUGUGUAGAGUACGUAGAGUACUUAGUGCAUAUUAAUCAUCUUAGUGUAGAGUACUUAGUACACAACCAGGCUGAGACAUAUGAUUUUAUAACACAUCUUGAUGUUAAUCUAGAUCAGUAAUCCACUAAGUUGAAUCAUGAUUAAGCUCCCAAAGUAGAAACAAAUGCCGUGGAAAAGUACUCUUUAUCUUAGCUAAUAAACUCAGAUUUAGUAUUGAAAAGAUGCUUAGCAAUUAAUAACUGACAGAUAUUAAAGCGAAUAUUUAACUGGUAUCCCUCUGGCAUGUUCAAACUCCAAGUUGAUUUAUGAUGAAUCAGGCAUUGAUUCAGCACCAAUGUCAAGCAGCUUAAUAUGAUUAUUUAAGACAUGGCUAGCUAAUUUUAUGAAUUAAGUAAUUAACAUUAAGUAUUACUAAUCAAUUCUUAUUAGUGAAGACUGACUAAUAAGAAUUGAUAUGAGAUUUGCAGAGCUUCUUAUUAGCGAAGACUAACAUGUAUAACUGAAAUAUUUCUUUAAUAAAACUAUUGUAGCAGAGCUAAGUGCUAAGUGUUUCUAAUCACAUAAUUUUUUAAGCCUAAAAAACAGAACAAGUUAGAAUCUAUUUUCUUCUCUUGGUAACCUCAAUUGAAUUUUAAUUAUAGUAUAUAUCGAAUGUCUGUAUAUUUGUGUGUUUUGUUUGUGAGAUAUCUAUCUGUUUAAAGUAGACUAGUAGCUUAAAAUCUUGAUUCGUUUUAAAGGAUUAGAUAGGUGAAUAUCACUAUCACUAAAAUAUAUUAACUAUAUCACUAAACUAUAUUAAGUAUAUCACUAAAGUAUAUUAAGUAUAUCACUAAAGUAUAUCAACUAAGAUCACUAAAAUACAACUGCUUAGUAUAAAUUUGGGAAUAUACUUCUUGUUAAAUAGUAUAUUUUACAUGUAUUUGCAAGUUUUAUGAUUUUGCAGGUUACAUAGUUCAAUGCAGAAUAAGUUCAAGACUUCGUGCACAUAGUUUGUCAAAGUUUACAAACACUGN